Molecule: ribosomal RNA, 273 nt
Filed under: uncultured Staphylococcus sp.
Lineage: Bacteria; Bacillati; Bacillota; Bacilli; Caryophanales; Staphylococcaceae
Description: partial 16S ribosomal RNA
Rfam family: Bacterial small subunit ribosomal RNA
Source: RNAcentral
ACGUUAGCGGCGGACGGGUGAGUAACACGUGGGUAACCUACCUAUAAGACUGGGAUAACUUCGGGAAACCGGAGCUAAUACCGGAUAAUAUUUCGAACCGCAUGGUUAGAUAGUGAAAGAUGGUUUUGCUAUCACUUAUAGAUGGACCCGCGCCGUAUUAGCUAGUUGGUAAGGUAACGGCUUACCAAGGCGACGAUACGUAGCCGACCUGAGAGGGUGAUCGGCCACACUGGAACUGAGACACGGUCCAGACUCCUACGGGAGGCAGCAGCG